CCUACGGGAGGCAGCAUUGAGGAAUAUUGGUCAAUGGCCGAGAGGCUGAACCAGCCAAGUCGCGUGAGGGAAGACGGCCCUACGGGUUGUAAACCUCUUUUGUCGGGGAGCAAAGCGAGUCACGUGUGACUCAUUGAGAGUACCCGAAGAAAAAGCAUCGGCUAACUCCGUGCCAGCAGCCGCGGUAAUACGGGGGAUUCGAGCGUUAUCCGGAUUUAUUGGGUUUAAAGGGUGCGCAGGCGGAGGUGCAAGUCAGCGGUAAAAUUGCGGGGCUCAACCCCGUACUGCCGUUGAAACUGCAUGCCUUGAGUGCACGAGAGGUGUGCGGAAUGCGUGGUGUAGCGGUGAAAUGCAUAGAUAUCACGCAGAACUCCGAUGGCGAAGGCAGCAUACCGGCGCGCAACUGACGCUCAUGCACGAAAGCGUGGGUAUCGAACAGGAUUAGAUACCCCUGUAGUC
RNAcentral lists this ribosomal RNA (459 nucleotides) under uncultured bacterium. RNAcentral's name for it is "partial 16S ribosomal RNA". It matches the Rfam family "Bacterial small subunit ribosomal RNA", at positions 338 to 795 of the family's 1533-position model. The record is from RNAcentral.